RNAcentral lists this unclassified non-coding RNA (215 nucleotides) under uncultured fungus. RNAcentral describes it as "sequence contains ITS1". Lineage: Eukaryota; Fungi. The record is from RNAcentral.
UUAUAAUUUUUUGUGCUUCAGUAAACUGAAGUUUAUUGACGUUAUAACCAAUUAUAAAGUUAAUCGCGCACUCGUAAGUGGGAUUGGAAAUUGGGCUCAUUGAAGAGCCUGAAAAUUAAUGGUCCGCUGGACUAACCGACUCGACAUCUCCGAAGAAAUGUCUUGAAGGUAUUUUGGGUGUGGUAAUGAUCCUUCCGCAGGUUCACCUACGGAAA